AAGGCGUAYGGYGGAGACCUAGGCACUCAGAGACGAUGAAGGGCGCGAUACCUGCGAAAAGCUUUGGGAAGUAGGAAAAAUACAUUGAUCCAAAGAUUCCCGAAUAGGGCAACCUCUCGAACUAUCUAUAAAUUCAUAAAUAGAAUAGAGAAAACCUGGUGAACUGAAACAUCUCAGUAGCCAGAGGAAAAGAAAGCAAAAGCGAUUCCCGUAGUAGCGGCGAGCGAAACGGGGCCAGCCUAAACCAAUUUAAUUGGGGUUGUGGGAAGACGUUUUUUUCAUCGAUUGUUUCGUUGAAUCUACGAUUCAACAUAUGUUUCUUUCGAAUUUGAAAGAAUAAGAAUAUAAUAAAGACGAAGCAGCUGAAUCCUGCACCAUAGAUGGUGAAAGUCCAGUAGUCAAUUUUUUCAAUUCUUAUUAUAAUAUUUUAUAUGAAUUAUAUUAUUUUAUAUUAUUAGAAUGUCUAUCCCGAGUAGCAUGGGGCACGUGGAAUCCCGUGUGAAUCUGCGAGGACCACCUCGUAAGGCUAAAUACUCCUGAGAGACCGAUAGCGUAAUAGUACAGCGAUGGAAAGGUGAAUAAGAACCCCCGUUGGGGAGUGAAAUAGAACAUGAAAUCGUGAGCUGACAAGCAGUGGGAGGAUUAAUUUUAGAAUCUGACCUCGUGCCUGUUGAAGAAUGAGCCGGCGACUUAUAGGAAGUGGCGGGUUAAAGAGUAAGAUCUGGAGCCUAAGCGAAAGCGAGUCUGAAAAGGGCAUCUAAUAUGGUCACUUCUUAUGGACCCGAACCUGGAUGAUCUAACCAUGAGCAAGCUGAAGCUUAGGUAACACUUAGUGGAGGGCUGCACGGACCGAUGUUGAAAAAUCGGCCGAUGACUUGUGGUUAGCGGAGAAAUUCCAAUCGAAUUCAGAGCUAGCUGGUUCUCCCCGAAAUGCGUUGAGGCGCAGCGGCAGUGAUGGGCAAUCUAAGGGUAGAGCGACUGUUUCGGUGCGGGCUGCGAAAGCGGUACCAAGUCGUGGCAAACUCCGAAUAUUAGAUGUGCUUUCCAUGUGCCAGUGAGACUAUGGGGGAUAAGCUUCAUUGUCAAGAGGGAAACAGCCCAGAUCAUCAGCUAAGGCCCCAAAAUGACUCCUAAGUGGAAAAGGAUGUGAGAAUGCCGGAACAACCAGGAGAUUUGCUUAGAAGCAGCCAAUCUUUAAAGAGUGCGUAAUAGCUCACUGGUAAAGCGUUUUUGAGCCGAUAAUGGCCGGGACUAAGGAGUCUGCCGAAGCUAUGAGAUUUUUUAUUAUUUCUUAUUUUUUAAUUUAUAAUAAUCUUAUUAAAAUUAAAUAAAUAAUCUUAUUAAAAUUAAAUAAUAAGAAUAAAAAUCGGUAGGGGAGCGUUCUGCAUCGGGUGAAGCUUUAACGUAAGUUUGAGUGGACGUUGCGGGAGCGAGAAUGUCGGCUUGAGUAACGAAAACAUUGGUGAGAAUCCAAUGCCCCGAAAACCUAAGGGUUCCUUUACAAGGUUCGUCCAUGAAGGGUGAGUCAGGACCUAAGGCGAGGCCGACAGGCGUAGUCGAUGGCAAACAGGUUUAUAUUCCUGUACUUUUUUGAAGGGGAACCGAGGGACGAAGUCGGCUAAAUUGAGUCUGUGAAUGGAAUGCAGUGGAAGCGUCCAAGGUUUUUAUAAAACAGAUCGAAGAAAAACGAAUCUGUAGCUGAGGCGUGAUCCCACUCUCCUGAACUUGUUCGGGUUGAGUGUCAAUGAUGUCAUACUUCCAAGAAAAGCUCGUACACCAUUAUUUUAUAUAAUAAAACCUUCAAAAAACCUGUACCUGAAACCGACACAGGUAGGUUGGUAGAGAAUACUAAGGGGCGCAAGAGAACUCUCUCUAAGGAACUCGGCAAAUUGGCCCCGUAACUUCGGAAGAAGGGGCGCCCUUGAUUAAAUUAAGGGCCGCAGUAUAAAGAUGCUGGCAACUGUUUACCAAAAACACAGGUCUCCGCUAAGUCGUAAGACAAUAUAUGGGGGCUGACGCCUGCCCAGUGCCGGAAGGUGAAGGAAGUUGGUUAUUUGGGUUGCUUCGCAUCCUAGAGAAGCUGACGACCGAAGCCCCGGUGAACGGCAGCUGUAACUAUGACAGUUCUAAGGUAGCGAAAUUCAUUGUCGAGUAAGUUUCGACCUGCACGAAAGGCGUAAUGAUCAGCAUACUGUCUCAGAGAGAGACUUGGUGAAAUAGACUUAUCCGUGAAGAUGCGGAUUAACAACAUUUGGACAGAAAGACCCUAUGAAGCUUGACUGUAUCCUGGAAUUGGGUUCGGGCUUUUCUUGCGCAGUCUAGGUGGGAGGCAUUGAAGAUUUCUUUCCGGAGGAAUUGGAGCCAUCAGUGAGAGACCACUCUGGAAAGGCUAGAAUCCUAAGAGUGAUCCCUAAUCGGGACAUUUGACGUUUUCAGGAAGGCAGUUUUUUUGGGGCGAAAGUCCUCCUAAAAGGUAACGGAGGCGCGCAAAGGUUUCCUCAGUCUGGACGGAAAUCAGACGUUACAGAGUGUAAAGGCAAAAGGAAGCUUGACUGCAAGACCUACAAGUCGAGCAGGGGCGAAAGCCGGCCUUAGUGAUCCGACGGUAUCCGCGUGGAAGGGCCGUCGCUCAACGGAUAAAAGUUACUCUAGGGAUAACAGGCUGAUCUUCUCCAAGAGUUCACAUCGACGAGAAGGUUUGGCACCUCGAUGUCGGCUCAUCACAUCCUGGGGCUGUAGUAGGUCCCAAGGGUUGGGCUGUUCGCCCAUUAAAGUGGUACGUGAGCUGGGUUCAAAACGUCGUGAGACAGUUCGGUCCAUAUCCGGUG
Molecule: ribosomal RNA, 2828 nt
Filed under: Parapediastrum biradiatum
Lineage: Eukaryota; Viridiplantae; Chlorophyta; Chlorophyceae; Sphaeropleales; Hydrodictyaceae
Description: LSU rRNA
Rfam family: Bacterial large subunit ribosomal RNA
Source: RNAcentral